GGUGGCGUGUCCGAGCGGCCGAAGGUGCUUCACUCGAAAUGAAGUGUGGGGUCAAACCCACCGAGGGUUCAAAUCCCUCCGCCACCGCCA
Molecule: transfer RNA, 90 nt
Filed under: Nocardioides sp. JQ2195
Lineage: Bacteria; Bacillati; Actinomycetota; Actinomycetes; Propionibacteriales; Nocardioidaceae
Description: tRNA-Ser
Rfam family: tRNA
About the family: Transfer RNA (tRNA) molecules are approximately 80 nucleotides in length.
Source: RNAcentral